This 497-nucleotide ribosomal RNA is filed under the name uncultured bacterium. RNAcentral's name for it is "partial 16S ribosomal RNA". It matches the Rfam family "Bacterial small subunit ribosomal RNA", at positions 28 to 507 of the family's 1533-position model. The record is from RNAcentral.
GAUGAACGCUGGCGGCGUGCCUAAUACAUGCAAGUCGAGCGAACGGACGAGAAGCUUGCUUCUCUGAUGUUAGCGGCGGACGGGUGAGUAACACGUGGAUAACCUACCUAUAAGACUGGGAUAACUUCGGGAAACCGGAGCUAAUACCGGAUAAUAUUUUGAACCGCAUGGUUCAAAAGUGAAAGACGGUCUUGCUGUCACUUAUAGAUGGAUCCGCGCUGCAUUAGCUAGUUGGUAAGGUAACGGCUUACCAAGGCAACGAUGCAUAGCCGACCUGAGAGGGUGAUCGGCCACACUGGAACUGAGACACGGUCCAGACUCCUGCGGGAGGCAGCAGUAGGGAAUCUUCCGCAAUGGGCGAAAGCCUGACGGAGCAACGCCGCGUGAGUGAUGAAGGUCUUCGGAUCGUAAAACUCUGUUAUUAGGGAAGAACAUAUGUGUAAGUAACUGUGCACAUCUUGACGGUACCUAAUCAGAAAGCCACGGCUAGCUACGUG